Molecule: ribosomal RNA, 459 nt
Filed under: uncultured bacterium
Lineage: Bacteria
Description: partial 16S ribosomal RNA
Rfam family: Bacterial small subunit ribosomal RNA
Source: RNAcentral
CCUACGGGAGGCAGCAGUGAGGAAUAUUGGUCAAUGGCCAGAAGGCUGAACCAGCCAAGCCGCGUGAAGGACGGAGGUGCCAAGCAUUGUAAACUUCUUUUGUCAAGGGACAAAAUCAGGCUCGAGAGCCUGACCGAGGGUACUCGAAGAAAAAGCAUCGGCUAACGCCGUGCCAGCAGCGGCGGUAAUAAGGAGGAUGCGAGCGUUAGCCGGAUUUAUUGGGUUUAAAGGGUGGAUAGGGGGUCUGUUAAGUCCGCGGUAAAAGCGCGGGGUUCAACCGCGGCGGGCAGAUGAGACUGGCUGUCUAGAGAAGUCGAGAGGGAUGCGGAAUGCGCGGUGUAGCAGUGAAAUGCUUAGAUAUUGCGAAGAACACUGAUUGCGAAGGCAGGAUACCGGCGGCGAUCUGACGCUGAGGCACGAAAGCGUGGGUAGCGAAAAGGAUUAGAUACCCGUGUAGUC